RNAcentral lists this transfer RNA (73 nucleotides) under Anguilla anguilla (European eel). RNAcentral describes it as "tRNA-OTHER". Lineage: Eukaryota; Metazoa; Chordata; Actinopteri; Anguilliformes; Anguillidae. The record is from RNAcentral.
GGCACGGUGGUGCAGUGGGUAGCACUGUCGCCUCACGACAAAAAGGUCCUGGGUUCGAAUCCGGCUUGGGCCU